AAUAUACUCCCUCCGUCCCAAAAUUCUUGUCUUAGAUUUGUAUAGAUAUGAAUGUAUCUAGUCAUAUUUUAGUAUUUUGAUAUAUUCAUUUUUAAAAAAAUCUAAGACAAGAAUUUUGGGAUGGAGGGAUUACCAU
Molecule: microRNA precursor, 136 nt
Filed under: Hordeum vulgare
Lineage: Eukaryota; Viridiplantae; Streptophyta; Magnoliopsida; Poales; Poaceae
Description: microRNA MIR1122
Rfam family: MIR1120/MIR1122 microRNA precursor family
Source: RNAcentral